This 229-nucleotide ribosomal RNA is filed under the name uncultured bacterium. Its description in RNAcentral is "partial 16S ribosomal RNA". It matches the Rfam family "Bacterial small subunit ribosomal RNA", at positions 568 to 796 of the family's 1533-position model. The record is from RNAcentral.
AGUGUAGGCGGCUACUUAAGUCGGAUGUGAAAUCCCCGGGCUCAACCUGGGAAUUGCAUUCGAUACUGGGUAGCUAGAAUUUGGUAGAGGUAAGUGGAAUUCCGGGUGUAGCGGUGAAAUGCGUAGAUAUCCGGAGGAACAUCAGUGGCGAAGGCGGCUUACUGGACCAAAAUUGACGCUGAGGCUCGAAAGCGUGGAGAGCAAACAGGAUUAGAUACCCUGGUAGUCC